This is a small nucleolar RNA of Gambusia affinis (western mosquitofish), 79 nucleotides long. RefSeq annotates it as small nucleolar RNA SNORD77. The record is from RefSeq and is a predicted model, not a curated record. The transcript has a single exon. Lineage: Eukaryota; Metazoa; Chordata; Actinopteri; Cyprinodontiformes; Poeciliidae.
AUACAAUGAUGACUGCAUAGUUCAGCAGAUUAUCCCAUGAAGACCUCAUAUCGACCUUUCACCCCUAGCUGACGUAUCA